CACGUAGGGCGCAAGCGUUGUCCGGAAUUAUUGGGCGUAAAGAGCUCGUAGGCGGUCUGUCGCGUCGAUCGUGAAAACUUGGGGCUUAACCCUGAGCUUGCGGUUGAUACGGGCAUGACUGGAGUUCGGCAGGGGAGACUGGAAUUCCUGGUGUAGCGGUGAAAUGCGCAGAUAUCAGGAGGAACACCGGUGGCGAAGGCGGGUCUCUGGGCCAUUACUGACGCUGAGGAGCGAAAGCGUGGGGAGCGAACAGG
RNAcentral lists this ribosomal RNA (254 nucleotides) under uncultured bacterium. Its description in RNAcentral is "partial 16S ribosomal RNA". It matches the Rfam family "Bacterial small subunit ribosomal RNA", at positions 524 to 776 of the family's 1533-position model. The record is from RNAcentral.